Molecule: transfer RNA, 74 nt
Filed under: Diploderma flaviceps
Lineage: Eukaryota; Metazoa; Chordata; Lepidosauria; Squamata; Agamidae
Description: tRNA-Trp
Source: RNAcentral
AGGAACUUAGGACUAAUCAUUAAACCGGAGACCUUCAAAGUCGCAAAUAAGAGUCACCACCCUCUUAGUGCCUG